ACGGUCCUAAGGUAGCGAAAUUCCUUGUCGGGUAAGUUCCGACCUGCACGAAUGGCAUAACGAUGGCCACACUGUCUCCUCCCGAGACUCAGUGAAGUUGAAAUGUUUGUGAUGAUGCAAUCUACCCGCGGCUAGACGGAAAGACCCCAUGAACCUUUACUGCAGCUUUGCAUUGAACUGUGAACCGAUUUGUGUAGGAUAGGUGGGAGGCAGAGAAGAGGCCACGCCAGUGGUCUUGGAGCCGGCCUUGAAAUACCACCCUGAUUUGUUUGCGGUUCUAACCACGGACAGUGAUCCUGUCUUGGGACCGUGCAUGGUAGGCAGUUUGACUGGGGCGGUCUCCUCCUAAAGGGUAACGGAGGAGUACGAAGGUACGCUAGGUACGGUCGGAAAUCGUGCUGAUAGUGCAAUGGCAAAAGCGUGCUUGACUGCGAGAGCAACAACUCGAGCAGAUGCGAAAGCAGGUCAUAGUGAUCCGGUGGCUCUGAAUGGAAGGGCCAUCGCUCAACGGAUAAAAGGUACUCUGGGGAUAACAGGCUGAUACCGCCCAAGAGUUCAUAUCGACGGCGGUGUUUGGCACCUCGAUGUCGGCUCAUCGCAUCCUGGGGCUGUAGUCGGUCCCAAGGGUAUGGCUGUUCGCCAUUUAAAGAGGUACGUGAGCUGGGUUUAAAACGUCGUGAGACAGUUUGGUCCCUAUCUGCCGUGGGCGUUGGAAGAUUGACGGGGGCUGCUCCUAGUACGAGAGGACCGGAGUGGACGCACCUCUGGUGUACCGGUUGUCACGCCAGUGGCAUUGCCGGGUAGCUAAGUGCGGAAGAGAUAACCGCUGAAAGCAUCUAAGCGGGAAACUUGCCUGAAGAUGAGUCUUCCCGGAGGUAAAACCUCCCUCAAGAGUCGUCCGAGACCAGGACGUCGAUAGGUCAGGUGUGUAAGCGCUGUAAGGCGUUGAGCUAACUGAUACUAAUUGCUCGUGAGGCUUGAUCCU
RNAcentral lists this ribosomal RNA (985 nucleotides) under human gut metagenome. Its description in RNAcentral is "bacterial LSU rRNA". It matches the Rfam family "Bacterial large subunit ribosomal RNA", at positions 1945 to 2925 of the family's 2925-position model. The record is from RNAcentral.